This 311-nucleotide ribosomal RNA is filed under the name Gryllotalpa sp. 1 PNG. RNAcentral describes it as "eukaryotic LSU rRNA". It matches the Rfam family "Eukaryotic large subunit ribosomal RNA", at positions 73 to 364 of the family's 3401-position model. Lineage: Eukaryota; Metazoa; Arthropoda; Insecta; Orthoptera; Gryllotalpidae. The record is from RNAcentral.
GAUUCCCUCAGUAGCGGCGAGCGAAGAGGGAGGAGCCCAGCGCUGAACCCCGCGGUCCGAGCGGCCGCCGGGGAAUGUGGCGUUAGGGAGCGCCCGCCUAUCCCCGGCGCGCGCGGCGAGCCCAAGUCCAUCUUGAACGGGGCCACGGCCCGCAGAGGGUGCCAGGCCCGUAGCGGCCGCCGCGUCGUCGUGGGAGGGCGUCUCCUCAGAGUCGGGUUGCUUGAGAGUGCAGCCCCAAGCGGGUGGUAAACUCCAUCUAAGGCUAAAUACGACCACGAGACCGAUAGCGAACAAGUACCGUGAGGGAAAGU